CACAUGCAAGUCGAACGGGAUGCUUAGGCAUCUAGUGGCGGACGGGUGAGUAACGCGUGAGAAUCUGGCUCCAGGUCGGGGAUAACAGUUGGAAACGACUGCUAAUACCGGAUGUGCCGAGAGGUGAAAGAUUUAUUGCCUGGAGAUGAGCUCGCGUCUGAUUAGCUAGUUGGUGGUGUAAGGGACCACCAAGGCGUCGAUCAGUAGCUGGUCUGAGAGGAUGAUCAGCCACACUGGGACUGAGACACGGCCCAGACUCCUACGGGAGGCAGCAGUGGGGAAUUUUCCGCAAUGGGCGAAAGCCUGACGGAGCAAUACCGCGUGAGGGAGGAAGGCUCUUGGGUCGUAAACCUCUUUUCUCAAGGAAGAAGAAAGUGACGGUACUUGAGGAAUAAGCAUCGGCUAACUCCGUGCCAGCAGCCGCGGUAAUACGGAGGAUGCAAGCGUUAUCCGGAAUGAUUGGGCGUAAAGGGUCUGCAGGUGGAACUGAAAGUCUGCUGUUAAAGAGUUUGGCUUAACCAAAUAAAAGCGGUGGAAACUACAGAACUAGAGUGCGGUAGGGGCAAAAGGAAUUCCUGGUGUAGCGGUGAAAUGCGUAGAUAUCAGGAAGAACACCGGUGGCGAAAGCGUUUUGCUAGACCGUAACUGACACUGAGGGACGAAAGCUAGGGGAGCGAAUGGGAUUAGAUACCCCAGUAGUCCUAGCCGUAAACGAUGGAUACUAGGCGUGGCUUGUAUCGACCCGAGCCGUGCCGGAGCUAACGCGUUAAGUAUCCCGCCUGGGGAGUACGCACGCAAGUGUGAAACUCAAAGGAAUUGACGGGGGCCCGCACAAGCGGUGGAGUAUGUGGUUUAAUUCGAUGCAACGCGAAGAACCUUACCAAGACUUGACAUCCUGCGAAUCCUGGUGAAAGCUAGGAGUGCCUUAGGGAGCGCAGAGACAGGUGGUGCAUGGCUGUCGUCAGCUCGUGUCGUGAGAUGUUGGGUUAAGUCCCGCAACGAGCGCAACCCUCGUUUUUAGUUGCCAGCAUUAAGUUGGGCACUCUAGAGAGACUGCCGGUGACAAACCGGAGGAAGGUGAGGAUGACGUCAAGUCAGCAUGCCCCUUACGUCUUGGGCUACACACGUACUACAAUGCUACGGACAGAGGGCAGCGAGCCAGGGAUGGCAAGCGAAUCCAGAAACCGUAGCUCAGUUCAGAUCGAAGGCUGCAACUCGCCUUCGUGAAGGAGGAAUCGCUAGUAAUUGCAGGUCAGCAUACUGCAGUGAAUUCGUUCCCGGGCCUUGUACACACCGCCCGUCACACCAUGGAAGUUGGUCACGCCCGAAGUCAUUACCCCAACCGAAAGGAGGGGGAUGCCUAAGGUAGGACUG
RNAcentral lists this ribosomal RNA (1374 nucleotides) under Cylindrospermopsis raciborskii XM4. Its description in RNAcentral is "bacterial SSU rRNA". It matches the Rfam family "Bacterial small subunit ribosomal RNA". Lineage: Bacteria; Bacillati; Cyanobacteriota; Cyanophyceae; Nostocales; Aphanizomenonaceae. The record is from RNAcentral.